RNAcentral lists this ribosomal RNA (305 nucleotides) under uncultured bacterium. RNAcentral describes it as "bacterial SSU rRNA". It matches the Rfam family "Bacterial small subunit ribosomal RNA", at positions 335 to 657 of the family's 1533-position model. The record is from RNAcentral.
UGCCUACGGGGGGCAGCAGUCGGGAAUAUUGCACAAUGGAGGAAACUCUGAUGCAGUGACACCGCGUAUAGGAAGAAGGUUUUCGGAUUGUAAACUAUUUUAGACAGGGAAGAAAAAAGACAGUACCUGUAGAAUAAGCUCCGGCUAACUACGUGCCAGCAGCCGCGGUAAUACGUAGGGAGCAAGCGUUAUCCGGAUUUAUUGGGUUUAAAGGGUGCGUAGGCGGAUUGAUAAGUUAGAGGUGAAAUGUCCGAGCUUAACUCGGGAACUGCCUCUAAUACUGUUGAUCUAGAGAGUAGAUGCGG